GCGGGUGUGGUGGAAUUGGUAGACGCGACGGACUCAAAAUCCGUUUCUGGUAACAGAGUGUCGGUUCGACUCCGACCACCCGCACCA
This 87-nucleotide transfer RNA is filed under the name Liberibacter crescens BT-1. Its description in RNAcentral is "tRNA-Leu (CAA) (tRNA-Leu-CAA-1-1)". It matches the Rfam family "tRNA". Rfam says of the family: Transfer RNA (tRNA) molecules are approximately 80 nucleotides in length. Their secondary structure includes four short double-helical elements and three loops (D, anti-codon, and T loops). RNAcentral also lists the same sequence under 1 other name. The record is from RNAcentral. Lineage: Bacteria; Pseudomonadati; Pseudomonadota; Alphaproteobacteria; Hyphomicrobiales; Rhizobiaceae.